Pongo pygmaeus (Bornean orangutan) is the source of this 648-nucleotide long non-coding RNA. RefSeq lists it as uncharacterized. The record is from RefSeq and is a predicted model, not a curated record. NCBI's taxonomy places the organism in Eukaryota, Metazoa, Chordata, Mammalia, Primates, Hominidae. The transcript is spliced from 4 exons.
ACAGGGGCAGGAAUAUGUGGACCCAUGUGGGUGAGUUAAGAAUGCUCCACAGAUGAAGAGUCCUUUGGAAUAGAUGGGGAAUUUGCUAAUACAAGCAUAAUUGGCUCAGAAGAGCACACUGCAACAGAGAGUCAAGGUGAAACUAAAUGAAGAAAAGAGGAGUACAGAAGUCUCCCUGGAGUGAUGGAACACUUAUUAAACAGAGUUCACCUUCAGCAGAAGAGGGCCUCUCACUGAGUAUGAAAUCUCAAGAGCAGAAACCCACAGGUCCAAGAUUCAGAGCAUACACUUGGAAAGUAGACUUCUUUUAAAUCAACUGACUGCUGACUGACUCCUUGCAGCUGACUUCUAGAAUUCCCUCAAAGCAGUUUCCUCACACUUUUACCCUCUGAAUAUGCUCUUUAGUCAAGCUGAGACCACCUUGAAUCUUGAGGAGAAUGAUGAUUCAAUGCAGAGGCGGAGGGAGGUUGAGAGCAAGAUUAGUCUGGCAUGAAACAUCACAGGGAAAUGUGAGCAAGUGCCAGGAGGCCGGAGACAGGGGCCGGGCAAACAGCUGAAGGAUCUUUUUGGGAGCCCUAACAUCUGCAAAGGCCAGUAGAUGCAAGUAUCCCAAAUGGUGACCUAUGUAAGCUCUAAUAAAGUCAGCAU